RNAcentral lists this ribosomal RNA (468 nucleotides) under uncultured bacterium. RNAcentral's name for it is "partial 16S ribosomal RNA". It matches the Rfam family "Bacterial small subunit ribosomal RNA", at positions 28 to 507 of the family's 1533-position model. The record is from RNAcentral.
GACGAACGCUGGCGGCGUGCUUAACACAUGCAAGUCGAACGGAAAGGCCCUGCUUUUGUGGGGUGCUCGAGUGGCGAACGGGUGAGUAACACGUGAGUAACCUGCCCUUGACUUUGGGAUAACUUCAGGAAACUGGGGCUAAUACCGGAUAGGAGCUCCUGCUGCAUGGUGGGGGUUGGAAAGUUUCGGCGGUUGGGGAUGGACUCGCGGCUUAUCAGCUUGUUGGUGGGGUAGUGGCUUACCAAGGCUUUGACGGGCAGCCGGCCUGAGAGGGUGACCGGCCACAUUGGGACUGAGAUACGGCCCAGACUCCUACGGGGGGCAGCAGUGGGGAAUAUUGCACAAUGGGCGGAAGCCUGAUGCAGCAACGCCGCGUGCGGGAUGACGGCCUUCGGGUUGUAAACCGCUUUCGCCUGUGACGAAGCGUGAGUGACGGUAAUGGGUAAAGAAGCACCGGCUAACUACGUG